Molecule: unclassified non-coding RNA, 660 nt
Filed under: Hevea brasiliensis (rubber tree)
Lineage: Eukaryota; Viridiplantae; Streptophyta; Magnoliopsida; Malpighiales; Euphorbiaceae
Source: RNAcentral
GAAAAUUUGAAAUCAUAAUAAAUAAAUUAUAAACUAUGAAAGGUUAACAAAAAAUUUGAGAAAACUAAUUAAGAAAAAAAAAAUCAAAAUUUGCUAUAUCUAUUUAAAAUUUUUUACAAGUAUUUGGGGAUACAAGACUUCUCAUUGCCUCUCCUCUCUCUACUCAUGUACACAUAUUUAAGAUUUUUUAUAAGUUUUUGGGGUGGCCAAGGCGCCCCUUGUCCCCCCUCCCUCCGCGGCUCUGCCCAUGUUUGAACUAUUACCUUUUACACUAUGAUGUAGACACUCAACUCAACUACUAUGGUACUAGCUCAAUGGUCGAGUGCUUAAUUAGCCUUUAAUAUCUUGUUAUUAUCAAUAUUCGAUGAUUGCAUCCAUCAUAUGGUUUUGAAUUACUCAUGUGGCCUAAAGAACUGGGCUGAUAAAUGUUGAUCUUCCUUGCCUUAUUUUUUGCCAUGCUGAAUUUAAUUUUACUGGGGUUAGGCUGUCUGUACCUGCAGAUGCACUUUAGUUUAUAUGAUUUUGUGUCCCUCCAUGUUUUGGUAAUCCUAUUAGUUUCUAUUGCUUUGUACAAAGCAUGUUGCUUUAUAAUGUACUAGUGGGUCCUAAUUAUUUGACUCUGGCCAUUUGAUGCAGAUGUUGGACUAUAAUGUACCUAGA